This 526-nucleotide ribosomal RNA is filed under the name uncultured bacterium. RNAcentral's name for it is "bacterial SSU rRNA". It matches the Rfam family "Bacterial small subunit ribosomal RNA", at positions 1 to 525 of the family's 1533-position model. The record is from RNAcentral.
UAGAGUUUGAUCCUGGCUCAGGACGAACGCUGGCGGCGUGCUUAACACAUGCAAGUCGAGCGAGGCCCUCCUCUUCGGAGGGGGUGUCCUAGCGGCGAACGGGUGAGUAACACGUGGGCAACCUGCCCUCAGCAUUGGGAUAACUCCGGGAAACCGGGGCUAAUACCGAAUACGACCUCUUCGGGCAUCCGUGGAGGUGGAAAGCGUUAGUGGCUGAGGAUGGGCCCGCGGCCUAUCAGCUUGUUGGUGGGGUCAUGGCCUACCAAGGCGACGACGGGUAGCCGGCCUGAGAGGGCGACCGGCCACACUGGGACUGAGACACGGCCCAGACUCCUACGGGAGGCAGCAGUGGGGAAUAUUGCGCAAUGGGCGCAAGCCUGAUCCAGCCACGCCGCGUGAGUGAUGAAGGCCUUCGGGUCGUAAAGCUCUGUGGGGAGGGACGAACCGCUGCUGGUUCAUAUCCAGCAGCAUGACGGUACCUCCUUAGCAAGCACCGGCUAACUUCGUGCCAGCAGCCGCGGUACGC